UUCGUAGGUGGCCAACUAAGUCAGACGUGAAAUCCCUCAGCUUAACUGGGGAACUGCGUCUGAUACUGGAUGGCUUGAGUGUAGGAGAGGAAUGCGGAAUUCCAGGUGUAGCGGUGAAAUGCGUAGAUAUCUGGAGGAACACCGGUGGCGAAGGCGGCAUUCUGGACUACAACUGACACUGAGGAACGAAAGCCAGGGGAGCAAACG
Molecule: ribosomal RNA, 207 nt
Filed under: uncultured bacterium
Lineage: Bacteria
Description: partial 16S ribosomal RNA
Rfam family: Bacterial small subunit ribosomal RNA
Source: RNAcentral